This is a long non-coding RNA of Panicum virgatum (switchgrass), 847 nucleotides long. RefSeq lists it as uncharacterized. The record is from RefSeq and is a predicted model, not a curated record. Lineage: Eukaryota; Viridiplantae; Streptophyta; Magnoliopsida; Poales; Poaceae. The transcript has 3 exons.
CCUGCUUCAAUUCUAGAUUUUGGUAUUCUGGUUUGUAAAAUUUUGUAUGCACAAGAAAAUAUUUUUGUGUGUGUGGGUACAUGAUGUGUCCUAUGAAUACAUGGUCCUGCAAUAGGACCCAUGCCUGUUUUGGGUUUGUAGAAUUUUUUGCAUGCAGAGAAAUACAUACUCCAGUCUAUUUUACAGUGAAUGACAUGAUCACUGAUGAAUCCUCUCUCUAUUUGUGUGUUCUGUAUUCAUGUUGGCAAUAAAAAUGAAUUGGAAGUUUCAGAAACAAUUAAGCAAGUGCAAAACUACAUGUUGGAUGCAUGUAAUCCACAAACUUUUCUACUAGCAUUAUCAAAAGCAUUUUAAUAAAUUUUUGCAGACAUUUAAAUACUAUUCAGAUAGCAUUUUAAGUGUUGAGUUCAAGAAACUUUUUAACAUUUUCAUACGUCUCAUGUGAUAGAUUAUCCUUUUUGUCUGGAACCAAGUCUGUUACAUCAUUACUAACAUAGGAUAAAUAAAUUAGGUUCCAAUAGAUGAAUAAGCAUAUGCCCUUUUCUGAGUCAAAAGUUCCUCGCUUUUCACAGUCUACACACGGUGACUGAUCUGUGGCUUUAUUGCCGGUGAGUCCUCUCUCAAUCCAUCCUCAACACCUCUGGAAUUUGCCGGAUUUCGCAUGUAGUUGGUGAGGGGAAGGAAUUAACUGGAGAAUGAGUCACAAGAGACAAAGGGGUAGGGAAUCGUCCUUAUGAUUUGCAUUCAAGGAGUCGUAGGAGACAAAAGAAACUAGUAGGUGGUAUCAGUUCAUUGAACUUGUGCUCAAGGAAUCAGGCAAGGGAAGAGAAAGUAGCCCCUGGACAGC